GUUUGAUUAUGGCUCAGAACGUACGCUGGCGGCACGCCUUAUACAUGCAAGUCGAACGAAGUAGCAAUACUUAGUGGCAGACGGGUGAGUAACAUGUGGGUAUCUUCCCUUUGGCCUGGAAUAACACGAGGAAACUUGUGCUAAUACCGGAUAAGUCUUUACGGAGAAAGCUUUAUGCACCAUUGGAUGAGCCCGCACUUGAUUAGUUUGUUGGUGGGGUAAUGGCCUACCAAGACAAUUAUCAAUAGCUGAUUUGAGAGGAUGAUCAGCCACAUUGGAACUGAGACACGGUCCAAACUCCUACGGGAGGCAGCAGUAGGGAAUCUUGCACAAUGGAGGAAACUCUGAUGCAGCGAUGCCGCGUGAGUGAAGAAGGCCCUUGGGUUGUAAAGCUCUUUCGUCGGGGAAGAAAAUGACUGUACCCGAAUAAGAAGGUCCGGCUAACUUCGUGCCAGCAGCCGCGGUAAUACGAAGGGACCUAGCGUAGUUCGGAAUUACUGGGCUUAAAGAGUUCGUAGGUGGUUAAAAAAGUUGGUGGUGAAAUCCCAGAGCUUAACUCUGGAACUGCCAUCAAAACUUUUUAGCUAGAGUAUGAUAGAGGAAAGCAGAAUUUCUAGUGUAGAGGUGAAAUUCGUAGAUAUUAGAAAGAAUACCGAUUGCGAAGGCAGCUUUCUGGAUCAUUACUGACACUGAGGAACGAAAGCAUGGGUAGCGAAGAGGAUUAGAUACCCUCGUAGUCCAUGCUGUAAACGAUGUGUGUUAGACGUUGGAAAUUUAUUUUCAGUGUCGCAGCGAAAGCAAUAAACACACCGCCUGGGGAGUGCGACCGCAAGGUUAAAACUCAAAUGAAUUGACGGGGACCCGCACAAGUAGUGGAGCAUGUGGUUUAAUUCGAAGAUACGCGCAGAACCUUACCAACACUUGACAUGUUCGUCGCGACUCUAAGAGAUUAGAGUUUUCGGUUCGGCCGGACGAAACACAGGUGCCGCAUGGCUGUCGUCAGCUCGUGUCGUGAGAUGUUGGGUUAAGUCCCGCAACGAGCGCAACCCUCACUUUUAGUUGCCAUCAUUUAGUUGGGCACUCUGAAAGAACUGCCAGUGAUAAGCUGGAGGAAGGUGGGGAUGACGUCAAGUCCUCAUGGCCCUUACGUGUUGGGCUACACACGUGCUACAAUGAUAUCUACAACAGGAAGCAAGAUGGCAACAUUAAGCAAAUCCCAAAAAGAUAUCUCAGUUCGGAUUGCACUCUGCAACUCGAGUGCAUGAAGCUGGAAUUACUAGUAAUCGUGGAUCAGCGUGCCACGGUGAAUACGUUCCCGGGUCUUGUACACACCGCCCGUCACACCAUGGGAGUUGGUUCUACCUUAAGGCAAAGUUUAAAACCUUUGACCACGGUAUAGUCAGCGACUGGGGUGAAGUCGUAACAAGGUAACC
RNAcentral lists this ribosomal RNA (1433 nucleotides) under uncultured marine microorganism. Its description in RNAcentral is "16S ribosomal RNA". It matches the Rfam family "Bacterial small subunit ribosomal RNA". The record is from RNAcentral.